GUCCCGCUUGGUGCUCCUCACCCGCCACCCGUGCGCCCAGUCUGCGAGGCCAGCCCAGUUCUCCCGGUCCGCACUGCCCGCCGGCCAGCCUGUCUGUCCCCCACUGCAACCAUGGAUGCCAUCAAGAAGAUGCAGAUGUUAAAACUGGACAAGGAGAAAGCCAUCAACCGCGCAGAGCAGGUCGAGGCCGACAAGAAGCAAGCUGAGGACCGCUGCAAGCAGCUGGAAGAGGAGCAGCAGGCCCUCCAGAAAAAGCUCAAAGGGCCGGAGGACGAGCUGGAAAAGUAUUCUGAGUCAGUGAAGGAUGCCCAUGAGAAGCUGGAGCAGGCUGAGAAGAAAGCCACUGACGCUGAGGCAGAUGUGGCCUCCCUGAACCGCCGCAUUCAGCUGGUAGAGGAGGAGCUGGACCGGGCGCAGGAGCGUCUGACUACAGCCCUGCAGGAGCUGGAGGAGGCUGAGAAGGCAGCUGAUGAGAGCAAGAGAGGAAUGAAGGUCAUCGAAAACCGAGCUAUGAAGGAUGAGGAGAAGAUGGAGCUGCAGGAGAUGCAGCUGAAGGAGGCCAAGCACAUCGCCGAGGAUUCGGACUGCAAAUAUGAGGAGGUGGCCAGGAAGCUGGUGAUCCUGGAAGGAGAGCUGGAGCGCUCUGAAGAGAGAGCUGAGGUGGCUGAGAGUAAAUGUGGGGACCUUGAGGAGGAGCUGAAAAUUGUUACCAACAACUUGAAAUCCCUGGAAGCCCAAGUGGAUAAGUAUUCCACCAAAGAAGAUAAAUAUGAAGAGGAGAUCAAACUGCUGGAGGAGAAGCUAAAGGAGGAUGAGACCCGAGCGGAGUUUGCUGAAAGGUUGGUGGCCAAGUUGGAGAAAACCAUCGAUGACCUGGAAGAGACCUUGGCCAGUGCCAAGGAGGAGAACGUGGAGAUCCACCAGACCCUCGACCAGACACUGCUGGAGCUCAACAACCUCUGAGGGUUAGCCCUGCCCCAGCCAGGCUAGCUGCCACCCCAAUAAACGGAUGUCACCAGGAAAAAAAAAAAAAAAAAUCUUACUCCAGCUUUCCAAGUUUUGUUGCACUUAAAGCAACUUAAAAUGAACAACUUGGAAAUAGGUAAA
Odocoileus virginianus texanus is the source of this 1107-nucleotide non-coding RNA. The record is from RefSeq and is a predicted model, not a curated record. Lineage: Eukaryota; Metazoa; Chordata; Mammalia; Artiodactyla; Cervidae.